UUCACUCAGACAACAUGUAAGGAACAUCUGCUAAACACCAGUGUGGAUGUGAGGGCAUUCCAAACCAGUGCUUUUUCAUCCUAGCCACACAUUGGAAUUACCUAUAGAAUCUGAAAAAUGGUGAUGCUCAGGUUUCACCCCAGAAAAAUUACAUAAAAAAACAUUUCUGGGUCUGGGAGGCAGGCCUGGGUAUUUAAGUUCCCAGGUGAUUCCACUGUGUAUCCAGGAUAGAAAGUCACUGGACUAAAUGAGCCCGAGGCUCCUUCCUGUAACACUGCCACUCAUUGCUCUUUUCUGGUCAUGGCUACCCUUGCCUUCUGAGUGACGUGACUGAAAAUAUGACCUGCGGUCACUGAGAUACAGCCAGCACUCUAUGGCCAGUUUACACGAAUGCUUAUUGAGCAGCUAUCACGUGCCUGGCAUUAGAGAGACACAGAGGUGAGGUUAACAGUAUCCCCUGGAAGUAAAUUAGUAUAAGCACUGCAUUUCCUUGAAUGUUUAUUUGGUGAGCCAGAGCCAGAUUUUCUGAUGAAUGGGAUUUUAUGUGAUUUAUCCUGUCUUGUCCCUCGGUGGAAGAGAAACAGUGACUAUAUCUGGUGCAUUUCAGUUAAAUGGAGUUAAAGCAGGUGGUGAAAAUGACAUAAACAGAAAUAGAUGGAAGGCAGGCAAAUAGGGAAGGAUGGUAAAGGCACAAAAUGUGUUCAUUAGGCAAGUUUUCACAAAUGUGCAAUCAGGUUGUCUAAAUCAUGAAAAAGUAAAAGUAACUAAUAUGCCUGUUUAAUAUUUGGAUUAUCAGCAAGGAUUUGAGCCCCUGUGAACUACCUGUCCUACCCUUGGCAUAGUGGACACGACCCAGAGAGCAUGCAAUAUAGCUUGGGAAUCUAAAUUGAUAUAAAAACUAGAGAUUUUAAAGUACUCACUUGUGACUAAAGCCAUUAAGGAGCUUGGAGAAAGGAGGUGCCAGACAGGUGCUACCUGAGGUGCAGUCCAUGGCCCAGCUCUGUCAACUGUUUGUUAUACAGUCAGUAAUGAGAAGUAAAGAAAUUGAAAGGAAGCAUUUAUAAACUUUUAUAGCAAUUUCCCAGAGUAAUUUUGUCUGAAUCUAAAACAUUUUUAAAGGGACUUAUAUUUUGUUUUUAAAAUUACAAUGGAACAUUACUCAGCAACAUAAAGGAAUUAAUGAUACAUAUCGGAAUGAUAAAUCUAAAAAUAUAGUAUGUGAGGGGCACCUGGGUGGCUUGGUCAGUAAAGCAUCCAGCUCUCCAUUUGAGCUCAGGUUAUGAUCUCACAGUUUUGUGAGUUCAAACCCCACAUCGGGCUCUACACUGACAGCACAGAGCAUGCUUGGGAUUCUCUCCCUCCCUCUCUCUCUGCCCUUUCUCCAUUCACACUGUGUCUGUCUCUUUCAAAAUAAAUAAAUAAAUUUUAAAAAUAAAAAAUAAUAAAAUAAAAUUAUGUUUCUCUAGUAAUUCAUUUUUAUUGUAUCUUAUGAAAGUACCAGUCUCUGACAGAUUGGAAUAAGAAAUGAAAGAAAAAACAAAAACCAAACUAGUUCUUUACUGAAGAAGAUUUAAAAAGCCCUGGUUGGGGUAGCUGGACAUCUGAGAUGUCAUGGCAAACUAGAGAAGUACCAGCAAGUGGGAGAAGGGUAGAAGUUCUAUCUGAUGUUACAAAGGGAGUAAGAGUGUGUCCUGAAAACUAGACCUUACUCAUGCAGAAGACUCUCAGACCAUGAAUGUUUUAAGUUAUUGGUAGCUGCUGGAGCUUUAUAUGUGCUUUGUAUGAAUUAUUUUAUUGCCUCCUCUCAUAAUCCUAUGUGAUAAUAGUGCUCUUCUCUGUCUCUGUUUUGUGGAGGGCUGAAGAAGGAAAAUAAUAUGCUCAGGCCACCGCUGCUGGUGAGUGAUAGGACUGCAUUUUAAAGAAAGGUGUGUUGGACUCUGGAGCCUGAUGAUUCAUGACUCCCCACCCCCACUCCACAUAGCCCCUCCACAUGCCAAGGAGCAUGGAUCACAGACUCUGCCCAUCCAGAUGUCCCAAGAAUAGGAAUGAGAAGGCCCUGCAGAUUCCAAUCUCAGAGGUCAGGGUUGUCCUUCCAGAAGGAUGCCCUACCUCCUAGGGAGGGCAAGGUGUGGACCUUUAUCUGACAGUCUUCUCUCUUCUCCUUGGUGCUCAUUUCCAGAGGUAUUUCAGUAGAUGGAUCCACCCUGGUUUGGGCCUUUUAUUAGUCUUUGAACUGUCCCAUUAGCAGCUUUUGCCAGUGGGAGCUCAUCCAUCCACUUAUUUCUAAACUUUUAAUUUUGAAAUAGAGAUUCAUAGGAGAGUGCAAAGAAACAUACAGGGAACUCCUGUGCACCCUUUGCCCAGCAUCUCCCACUAUUAGUACAGUAUCAAACCCAGGAAAUUGACGUUGGUGUAAUCUACAGACUCACUCAUCCACUUUUUUCUAUUAAUUUCUUUAAAAGACUUUUUUUUAGAGCAGUUUUAGAUUGACUAAAAAAUGGAGAGAAGGAUACAGAGAUUUCCCUUUUAUACCCAGCCCCGCUCCCCCAUAUACAAUACACAGCCUCCCCCGUUGUCAGCAUCCCCGACCAGAGUGGUAGAUUUGUGAUAAUUGAUGAACCUGCAUUGACGUGUCAUAAUCACCCAAAGUCCAUAGUUUACAUUAGGGUUCACUGUUGUAUAUUCCAUGGGUUGGACAAAGGUAUGAUAUGUAUCCAUCAUUAUGGUAUUAUACACAGUAGUUUCACUGCCCUAAAAAUCCCCUGUGUUCUGCCUUUUUAUCCCUCCCUCCUGCUAACACCUGGUAACUAGUGAUCUUUUUAUUGUCUCCAUGGUUUAACCUUUUCCAGAAUGUCACAUAGUUGGAAUCAUACAGUAUGUAGUCUUUUCAGGUUGACUUCUUUCACUUAGCAAUACGCUUUUAGGAUUCCUCCAUAUAUUUUCAUGGCUUAACAGCUCAUUUCUUUUUAGCACUGAAUAAUAUUCCAUUGUCUGGAUAAAUUUGUUUAUCUGCUCACCAACUAAAAGAUUGGUUGCUUACAAGUUUUGGCAAUUUUGAAUAAAGCUAUAAACAUUCAUGUGCAAGUUUUUGGGGAGACAUAGGUUUUAGCUCCUUUGGGUAAACACCAAGGAGCACAAUGCUCCCAUCUAUAUUUUCUCCCACAUUCUGGGUACCAAGCUUGAAGAGAGGCAUCAACAAGCCAUAGUGUAUCUGGAGGAGCGAGAGGGUGAGUAGUCUGGAAGCCAGGUCACAUCCAGAGUUCUUAGGGACAAGUGUGACCAUCUUGUAUGAAGAUGCCAUAUGUUAUUUAGUUCUCCUGUCUUAGCACCUAAACUAUGUGAGGCACAUAGUUGACCUUCAACAGAUGUUUUUUGAAUUGACUGUUGAUUUAGAGCAGAAAAUGUGCAUAUAAACAUAAUAGCUGUCUUCCAUAUUGCUGGGCCUCCAAUGUGGAAGAAAAGCAAGAUUGAUCUAUGUCCCAUUGCUAUUUGCAUUGCUCUUGAGGACAGAACUAGAAUUAGUGGAUGGGAUGAAGACAUAAGGGGAAACAUCCCAGCUGGAUUUAUGGAAGAACUUGACCGAGAAUGGGAAUAAUGCAGCAGGGAAGUAGUCAGCUCCUCUAUACUAGAAGACCAUCAUGAUGCAGUAGAAAUGAUUCAUAUGUGUGUGUGUGUGUGUGUGUGUGUGUGUGUGUGUGUGUGUGUGUGUGUAUUUGACAUUGGGAAUAAUGGCUUUAAUGGAAGUCCUUCCAGUUUCUUGAUUCUGAAAACAUGCAGGCAUGGAUAGAAAUAGGACAGUUGGGUGGGAAGAUCAGUUUAUGGGUAGGGGGUAUUCAUAGAGUUCGAAGUCACAGCAAAAGAUUUUUGUGGAAGAACACCUGCAGAUUUUGAAAAGAUUGUUUUUGCUUUUUAAGAGGAAAGUCGUAGGUAGUCAGAUGUAAGACUCUCUCAGCUUCUCUGUGUAACCUGUGGAAUUUGUCCAGAGCAACAUCUGGACUUAACCUGGCAAUCAGACACUCAUCUUUUCUUCCGGGCAGAAUUUGGCAACAUCAGUCCUAGAGAAAAUCAUGGGACUGGAUUCUGACUACAGCUGACAUGUUUUUGUCAUGUUAAUCACUUAGAUUGGAAUUAAGGAGAAGAUUAUUGCAAUUUCUAUUCCAGGAAAUGAAGCAGGAAUGAAGCAGGCACUGAGUUAAUCAGAUAGCUUCCAGGUGAAAAAGAAAAAAAAAAAAAAUAGGUCAAGGUUCUUAAAUUGGGCCAUCUUAGGUUAUUAUCUGUUCAUAUAUGAUUAUCCUGUAAGGUAUGAAUUUAGAUGAUUUAUGUUUUUAUUUUAUUCUAGCUGCCAAGGAAGAUGCAAACUGUUUGUAGCAUAUAUUUUAAAAAACAAAAAGAAAACUUAUUUUUUUUAAUGUAUGGAGUAGGGAAAGGAAGUAAUAUUUAUUGCUCACUACAUACAGGAACUUUACAUAUAUUAUUUCAUUAAUUUUCACAAUGAUUCUGAUGCACAGGUAUUAUCAUUGCUAUUUUAUGGUCAAGGAAACUGAAGCUCAUCAGAGCAGAGUAACUUGUUCUGGGAUGCAUACCAAAUGAAAAAGAGAGAUGGAAUUCAAAGCCAAAUCUACUGGACUCUAAAGUUACUGCUCUUUAUGCUGUUUGGUACUCACAAUAUACCAUCUCUAGCAGAACCGAAACCUAUCAUAUUCAUGGAUAGAUUUCAGAACUAUAUCUUGUAUGUUUCAAACCCACAGGUGUCAGUUCUCCAUCUGCAGAAAAGCCCGCCCAGAUGACACGUUUCUACCAUUGCUGAUGACUUUUCUAUAAUAGAGUCAGACUGAGGCAUUCUGACCAUUGGCACAUUCAGUAGCUAAUUGUCCCUGGUCCUGGCUCCUACCCAUGCCUGCUUUCUUCUCUCAGUGCCUCUGAAUGUAUGGUCCUGAAGGUGUGAACACUAUCCAUGGGCUGGGGUACAGUUUCCAGCUUGCCUGCAGCCCAGUGUCUAAUAAUCCUAGACUAACUUUUUUUUAGGCCUUAGGAUUGUGUUCUCAUUGUCAUAAGCAGGCUUAGAGGGGAGCCAGGAGACCUCAUGGUACAGGUGUCAGAGCACGGUGCCUGAAUGUGCUUUGUUCUUGCUGUGGACUUACCAUUGCUGGGGCUGUAAGGAAUCCCUCAGCUGUCUGAGUCUCAGUUCUUUCACAAGCAAAAAGGGGAUUGUAAUAACUCCUCUCUCUUUAGGAUGAGCGAGAGACUCAUAUUUGUAUCUAGGAAACUUUGUAAACCAUAGGCAUUGUACAAAUAUAAGUUCAGUGAGUGAAAGAGAACGACCCCAUCUCCUGGAAAAGCUUUCCUCCAUAAGGGGUGGAAGCCAGUGCACACAUCUAGGUAGGAAACCACGAGCUCCUUCUGGCUGGCCAGGCUCUGUUUCACUGGAGCAGGUUUGGUCUCUGUGCACAAUGCCACCCCCCCCCCCCCGCCACCCCCCCGUUUCUCCUGAAUAGCAUGGCUGUGUUUCUUGGCCUGGAUUACUGAGAUAAUUGCUCACAAUCUUCCCUUUCCAGUGAGCACGAGCCUGUUAGACCCGAACGAUAGCCACUGGCUGAAGCCUUCCGAAGACUGAUUGGAUAGACUGUGUUUGGCUCAGUUGAGUUUGCUUGCUGGCUAUGUAAAUAUUAGGGUUGUUAAUCUUUAUUAGAGGGUGUUAGCCAAGAAAAAUUGCAUUUUUAAAAACCCAUAUAUUAACAUGGGAAAAAGUAAAAGUAAACCAAGCAAAAUUGAACAAUUUUGAUGUCCUAGAAGCUUCCAGUGAAGGCUAAAAGGCCUUUAGUGUGUAUUUAUUCAGUAAAUAAGGCUGUGGCUUCCAAUUCUUUUUGAGAGUGGGGCAUAGAUGUUAAAUUAAAAAGCAAAUUUUCAUUUUAGAACAGAAAAAUCUGAACAAUUAGAAAGUCUUAAUCUUGCUGUCAUUUAAUAGGUUUGGAUUUGCAAGUCAGUUUUCAUGGAUUUUUUCCCCCACAAAGACUUUCUGUCUUAAAUCUAAUUUGCAUUUAUAUUUUCAUAUUGUAAACUUUUUACUGAAGUAUAACAUACAUACAGAAAAGUACAUAAAUCCUAAGCUCAGUGAGUUUUUACCUAGUGAACACACUUGAAUAAGUAGUGUACAGAUCAAGAAAUAGAACAUGAUUCCAGAACACUGGCCCCCCAGUGUCCCCUUCCAUUUACCAGGCCCUCCCAUCAAGGGCAAUCUCUAGGGUGACUUCCAGCAUCUUAAGAUUAGUUUGCCUGUUUUGAAACUUUAUAGAAAUGGAAUCUUCAUGUAUGUAUUAUUUUGUCAAGUAUAUACUGUCUUCUUUUUUCCAACAUUACCUGUGUGAGAUUAAUCCAUGUUGACUGUAACAAAUAUAUGUCACUUUCAUUGCUAUGUAAUAGUGUACUGAUUUUAUGCUGCUAUUUAUUUAUUCAUUCAUUUUACUGUAUAAGGUAUUUGAGUGUUUGAGUUGUUUCCAGUUUGGGGCUAUUAUGAAUAAAGCUGCUCUGUGUAGAUCUGUUGAUGACUACUUGCAUCCAGUAUUGUAGAGUAUAUAUCUAAGAGGGUAAUUAGCAAACACUAGGGUAAGAGUAUGUUUAGCUUUCAUUAAAUACUGCCAAAUAGUUUUCCAAAGUAGUUGUAACAAUUUAUAUCUCCACUAGCAAGGAGGAUACUUCCAGUUGCUCCACAUUUUUGCUAAUAGUUGGUAUUAUUUGUCUUUUCCAUUUCAGCUCUUCUGGUAGGUAUGUGGUGAUGCCACUUUAUGGGUGGGUUUUGUUUUGUAUUUGUAUUUCUUGGAUGGUGAAUGAAGUCAAGAACAUUUUCAUAUGUUUAUUGACCAUUUGGAUGUCUGUCCUUUUGUAAAGUGAACCUUUAGUUGUUCUGCCUUAUCUUUGCUAUUAAAUUAUCUGCAUUUUUCUUAUUAACUUGUAGGAGUUCUUUAUAUAUUCUGGAUAUGAAUCCUUUGAAUAUGUAUAUUGUUAAUAUCUCCUUCCAGUCUAUGGCUUGCCUCUUCAUGCUCUUCAUGGUGUAUUUUGUUGUGUAUUAAUGGUAUAUUAAUACUUUUAAUGUAUUCCAGUCUAUAAAAUAUUUUCUUUUAUGUAAACUUAGUGCUUUAUUUUGGUGACCUGUUUAAGAAAUCUUUGUCUACUCUAAAUUUUGUACUGAAAAAACUUUGCUGUUUUACUUUUCACAUUUAGAUUGAUAAUCCAUUUGAAAGUGCUUUUCCUGUACGGUGAGGGAAAGACCCUUUUCUUUUUCCUUCCUGUUUUGCCAUCUAGUUGGCUUAGAGUCAUUUGUUUAAAAGACCAUCCUACCCCCACAGCACUGUAGUGUCACCCUGUCAUAAACCAAGUGACCAUAUAUGUGUGAGUGUAUUUUCAAGCAUUAAAAUUUGGAGGUUCUGCCAAGAAAUUGGUACUACCUUGAGUUUGAUUGCAUUAAGUAGCUAGCUCAACCCUUGACACAGGCCUGGAUGACUAAGAGAGGCCAGGGCAGAUCAGGGCUCCAGAAAUUUUCCAGAUAUAAAACCCACUGACUCAGACUGUAUUUAGAUAUGCUGCUCCAAAUAAAAUAACUCUAACAGAAUACUGUCCUCUCUAUUGGACAGUAUUAGAAGAUGGAUAUGCCAUAAGAAAUGGAGUUUAAAGGAAUGUAAUACCUACUUUCAAAUUAUGUAUAAAUUCUCACAAGAUUGAACUGAAAACAAUCAUUAUUUUAUCUAAUGCUAGUUCUCAUAAUAAGGGAAUGCUUUCUUUGAAAACAGGCUUAGCUGGUGGCUAUUCUUGGGGUUCAUCACAUCUGCCUGGUCUUAGUGUUCAGGAAUUAGACCCCCAGACCCUUUAAUUGCUUACUUAAUUUAAUGACUCUGUGGAGGGCCUUUGGUUUGUGUCUGACUACUUCCAGCAACCUGAAAUCUUUUAGGUUUUCUAAGAUGUUAAGGCAGCUGGGUAAGGGGUAUUUCUUCAGAUAGAUGAGUACCCCUUUUCCAACUUAGACUGUGGAAGACAUUGGCUCUGUGAUAGAUCCCCAGCCCACAGCUCCUUUCCAUCAGUGGUACCCAGGGUGGUUGAUGAAGUUCAUUUCUCCUUCCAGGGGACAUGAACCUAGUCCAGGCACCUUUAAGCUUAGAUAGCUACCCCUCAUUCAUUCCCAUUUCCCUCUCCUUCAGCUUACCUGGCAGUCUGAGCUGCCAUGAAUGGGAAAUAUUGUUCAGUGAACAAUGAAGCAGUAGCUUCUUUUGUAAGUUUCCAUUUGGUCAACAUGUACAGUUGAGCAUCUUCUGUAUACUAGCACUGAAGAUCUUUUCCCAGCCCUUGAGGACUUAGUUUAUUUCCCACUGUGUUAAGUGACAGUCUCUGUUAAAUUUGGGGCCUGACAAAACCUUUCUGAUGCUUGAUUGCUUAACCUCACCUCUCAUCCAUCUCUCCCUGCCAUGGCCAGAUUUAGCUGAGUAUAUGGAUGAAUCUCAUCUGUCUGUCCCUAUAUUGUACACCCCUCUUUAUCUCCAUUGUUACUUGAACUAAUCUAGGGCCUGUUAACUAGGAUGACUUCAACCUGGAGAGCAGUUUUUGCAUAGUAACAUCCAAACUGGCCACCUGCUGAAGCCCUGGUUGCCUCACCCAAGUUCUUAAGUAUCUUGAGAUGCUGUUCUGAUGCUCCAGGGUCUGCCACUUAGCUGUGCCUUUGUCAAGAGACAAUGGAUCUUUUUUCACAUAAUGCCAUCCAUAUGUUGGGAUCUUGGCUUCCUUCUGUGCCUAAUGGCAAAAGGUCUAGCAGUGACAUGGAGUUAGGACUGUUGUAUAAUGUCCCGUAAUUGUCAUGUCUUGUUUCAAUCAGCAGACAACCCAGUUACCAGUAGUCUUUGCCACUCCAGAUGUUGUAUAGCUUUGAUGUCAUCCACCCACUUUCUCUGUGUGUGAACACAGAAUGGCUGGAGAUUUUAUUUUAGGCUCUUUAACUCUGUCCUUUAAACUGGGCAUUAAAAAAGGAGUCUUCUGUUUGUUUAAAUAAAUUUUUUUUUUACUAAUCUUUACACAUUAAAAAACCAUUGUAUAUAAUAGAAUAACAGACUUUUAGAACCCAGAGAUAUUAGAUAUCAUUAGUUCAAUCUUCUCACGACUAAAUAAUAUUGUAAGAUUUCUUUCCCUGGAGAUAUUUUUAAAUGUCUUUUACAAUCACAGGAAGUCAGAGCUGGAAGAGAACUGAGAACUGUGUGAGGCCAGCAAGCUCAUUCUAUGGAUGAGGAGCCUGAGACUCUGAGGACACAAGUGACUGGAUCACAGUGCUAUGAUAAUAUCCCGGGUCUCCAGACUCCGCAAUCUAGGCGUCCUUGCUUGUGUAGACAAAGCUGUUUCUUACUUUCAUUUUUGCUUCAUUAUUGUUACCUAGGGACAGCCAGGAAUUUCUCAUAGAAUAUGUGGAUGUGCUUGUCAUGAGACAUUAAUCUGUGCCAGAAUUUAAGGUAACAUAGAAAUAGCCAAAAUGUACUUUGGGCAAGAGCCACGAAUCCCAAUGGGAGUGGGCUGGGAUAAGUAGUUAUGUUAAUAAAACCUUUCCACAUCAAAAGUAUGAGUCAGAUUCAAUAUAUGAAUAUCAUCAAGAAGUUACACAUAGAGGGAGUUAAUUUUAGUACAAAUAGAUCACCUGUUUGCAUCUCUCUUCAGAAAUAAAGGGGGUGGAAGUUGUUAUGUCUUUCAAAUUAGAUUGAUUGCUAAAAAAGGGAAAACAAUCUGGAGGAUGGUUAUUUUCCUUUGGACUCCUGUCCUGUGUACCAUCUAUUUCUAGCAAAGCUCGAAUUUCCAGUUUAAUAGCAGGUGGAAGUGGAGAGUGUGCCUUUUCUCCCCUAGUGCCUUAGCUGCAUUCAGGAAAUUCCCAUGCCUGCCCCUUUCCCCUGCAACCACCCUCCACAGCUCUUUCCUGACGCCUGUUGCUCUGGGCUAGUCUACAGCCUGCAAGGAUGGCGGUGGUAUGGGGCCAGUGGAAGCUUCCCGUGAUGGUAUACAAAGCUUUUCUUAAGGAGAAGGGAAGCCAAAGGAGUCAACCAUCCUCCUGAUCCUUGGAUCUCCCUUCUUCUGCUUGUAUUUCUCCAGGAAGGCCUAAGGCAGAUGGAUCAGAGAUGUACCUUGUGGACCUAAGAAAUUAUUCUGCCCACCAUAUUCUGGUUUGCUCGUGCCCCCUCCAUGUCACCUCCACUUCUCCCUCUGCUCCUUAAGGUGUUAAGCAGGGGAGUUUGUGGGUGAAUGAGGAGGACAGAGAAUAUGGGGUGUGUUACAGCCUCCCCUAGGCUUUGUUUCUGGUGACAGGAAGGGCCCUGAUAGUGGGAGCCUUAUGGGGAAGACAGUCCACCUUCUUGGGAAGAUCCCAAUGUAAUCGCAGACAAUAAUCACCUAUAUGGUGUCCUCUGCUGCAAAAUAGUACCUGAGCUCAGGUCACUUUGUUACCUCAUAAAUGCUAGCACCAGUCCUAGGGAAGUGCAACAGUGGGAAGAAACAGGAUCUGAGCUGAGAUGGUGAUUCUGUCCUCUCUGGACAGACCAUUGUACAUAAGAGGUGUUCGUGUGUUGAUUUGCAAAGCACUCCUGAGCUUCUCUUCAGGGAUUUUGUCUGAAGGGGAUCUCCAUUCCUGGAAUUCACUGAAAGCUCUGCCUGACAUGCCCUCUGCAACUCAUCAUGUUAAUGGGAAGGGAGGGCUGGAGGCCAGCCAGGUGCCCUGCCCCCAGCCAUGUCAGGAUGGCUGUAUUGAUUGCAGAGUCUGACGGAAGGUUACUGCAAUGGAUGGGGAUUCACUGCUAGUGGAGGAAUAAAGCUCUGGCCCUGGAGCCUGUCUUCUUAACUGGGCUCCCAGCCAGGGCUUUCUUGCCAACUUUCUACUCCUCCCAGUCCAUCAUCCACACCCAGCUAGAUCUGGCUUCCCUGAACACCACUUAGUCAAACUUCCCAAUUGCUUCGAAACCAUUAAUGGGUCCUCUUGGCCUGGACUGAAGGCCCUAUAGGAUCAGGUACAUAUCCACCCACAGUAAUCUUCACAACCGUGUCAUUGAUCCAGCCUACUCUCUGCAGCAAAGCCCAUUGUGUAGUCAGAUGUGUUCUGUUCACAGUCCCCAGAAGACUCCAGGGUUAUUUGUAUCUUCGUGCCUUUCCCCAGGUUGUCCCGUGUCAUUUGCUGCUCCAUCUGUGUCAUCUACUCUAUCCUUCAGUAUUUUAUUCUUUCACUUUCUCGGGUCAUCUAGCUAUGCAGUAGCUCACUUCUCUUACGUGCACUAAGCCCUUUGAGGGCAGGAACGCCUUAGCCCCCAGCGCAAUACUGAAUGUGAGGUGAGCACACAUUGCUUCUUGGGUGAAUGGGGAGAGAUGAAAUAAUGAACCCUCCUGGGCAACUUACUAUUAUUUCCUUCUUGACCUGGUGUCCAGGCACCCAUUUUAAAGUGAGGUCUUUAAUGGGGUAGGGGGAAUGGAGGCAGAUGCCUCAGACUGGUUUUCAAUAAAGUGGUCAAGAGUAGGAUUUAAAUGAAACAGGUACUAAAGGUAAAACCCAAAAAACUCCAAAGAAAACAAGAAAUUGGAUUUAACACAUCUUAAAGAUGAAAGAUAGGUUAAUGGGGGUUGAAUAAGUGUCCUCUGAAAGUUCAUGUCUAUCUGAAACCUCAGAAUAUGACCUUAUUUGGAAAUAGAGUCCUUGCAGAUGUGGUUAGUUAAGGUAGGGUGGGGUCAUACUGGAUUAGGGUGGACUCUAAAUCCAAUGGAUGAUGUUCUUAUAAGAAGAGCAGAGGACACAUAUAGAAGAGGGUCAUGUGAAGGUGGAGACAGAGAUGAGUGAUGUAGCUUCAAGCCCAGGAAUGCCAGGGAUUGUCAGGACCUACUAGAGACUAACAGCAGGCAAUGAAGGAUCUUCCCUAGAGCCUUAGGUGGGAAGGCUGACAUUGCACUGCUGACACCUUGAUUUUGGACUUCUGGCUUGAACUGUGGGAGAAUACAUUUCUGUCAUUUUAAGCCACCUAGUUUGUGGUAAUUUGUUGUGGCAGCCCUAGUAAACCAACACAGUGGGGUCAGGUCAUGACCAGUGCCACCCCUAUGAGGUGCAGGAAGGAGAGAUCACACCAGGUGGAGUCUGUUGGUUGCUUCCAUUUUUAUGCAGAAGAAACUUGGUUAAAAUGAUCAUCAGGAAUAGAGGAGGUGUGUGCUGGAAAGAGGGCUGGAAGAGGGUGUUAUUAUGGUGAUCUUGUAAAAAAAGUGGUUGGGGUGUGGGUUUGCUUUGAUGCAAGGGAAGGAGAGGAGAGAAAGUACUAAACUACCCCAAUUGGCUUUCGUAAUGAAUGCUGUGAAUGAGAACUCCCCCCCCCCUUUUUUUUCUGGGUCCCCAGACAGCUCUGGCUCUCUGUCCUCAAAGCAGUGAGAACCCAUAAAGUAGAGGGUGGGGCAAGACAGAGCUCUGCCCUUGGAGGAUCUUGUCAAGCACCACUUAGGCGGGGCCUUCUCUUCUUCCUCCUCAGUGUUAGCGGUGAUGAGGUGCAGUGGGAUGUGCACUGGAAGCCUAGCUCGUUUCCCAUCUAUUGUCACUGUUGUGUUUGAGCAAGUCUGUCCCCCUCUCUGAGCCUUGCUCUUCUCCCUUUUGCAGGAGGCAUAUAAGUCAUGUGUGCAUUAAAGAAGAAUACUUUGUAAAUCUUAAAAUGCCAUAUCAUGUUGUAUCUUAGAAUUCUCCCCAGGGCUGAAUGUGAAGCACAGGCAGAUUCCUUGUGCUUUGGGGUCUGGGGUAGCUCACAGACUGUGUGAAAAAUAAUACAGUUUUCAGUUUGGGGUGAUGAAGAGGUUCUGGACAUGGAUGGUGGUGAUGGUUAUACAGCAAUGUAAAUGUACUUAAUGGCACUGAACUGUAUGUACACUUAAAAAUAAUAGUUAAAAUGCUAAAUUUUAUGUUAUGUAUAUUUUACCACACACACAAAAAAACCACAAGCACCUCCCCCACAAGAAAUGCAGAUGACGUUCAAGCAAAUUUGACAUUCGGGUGUUAGUACAGGACAAUUAUUGCACUUUGUGGUGAAUGCUCAUAUUUACGGUCAGUGUGAGGAAUUAGCCCUGUUUACCAGGACUCCAUUAACACAGUGGAUUAUUGUUAUUACUUUUGGAUGGCUUUAGAAAUUCCCUUGGGAGUGGAUAAAUUAGAUCACAAUAAUUGGAAUUUAGAUGAACUGUAAACUGUACUUAAUAACAUGUGAUCUGAGGUCACCUUUCUGGCUCUGACUCUGCCCCAAGGUUAUGUCCAAUCCUCAGCACUAUUCUUUCCUCUUUCUUCUUUCCUUUGGUACCCUAUUUACUUUUCAUCCCAAGAUGUCAGGGUGCAAAUGGAUUUACAUCUACAGCACAGAAACAUGGGAGUCCCAUGUGGCUUCAGGCACUUGACCAAAAGUGUCUCAUGCUAUCACAGACCCCAGUCCUUUGGCCCAGACUUUGCUCCCAGAAGCCAGAGCUAUUUGCACACCUCCCAGAGCAUUUCAUUCUGCAGGCCUAUGGGCUUCCACAUCAAAGCCUUAUAGGAUUACCUUCCAAUUUUCUCCUCUCCUAGCUCUGAGCUGCUUCUGAAGAUCAGAACCACAGGCAUAAAUAUUGUCUGAUAGCCUCUCAGUUUCGGAGGAGUCUCCCAUAGCCUAUGGGAGGCCUAAAGAAUAACUCAGAAAGUGGCUGAAAGAUGGACAUGUUUUGGAUUGAGAAGUUGUUUCAUUUUAGCACAAAAUAAAAUGUUUACAUUUUCAUGUUCAAAUAUUGAAACCUGUAUGGUGCCUCCUCUAAGUCAUCUCCGAAAAUGACACAACACUGUUUAAUGUAGAAUGCCCGUGGUGCCAGAUGAUUUUGAGUCAUGCACAGAGCCAGGCACAGCUCUCAGAUGCAACAGCUACAUGUGCUUCUGCCUUCAAGGCAGGCAGCCACUUUCCUGAGAGGGGGCUGGGGAUAGGGAAAAUCAGUGCCUUCCUUGUGGGCUUCUUCUUGUUGAAUUUUGCUCCACAGGUUGGAGGACAAGUUCCUGUCCUCCUAACUAGGCCUUAAAAGUCUGGGUGGAGUGGACUCUCGCUGGAACCUGUGGAGAUUAUAAAACAAGAAGCUCACUGCCUUGCGUGGCAGGAGUAAGAGCCAGUGUGAAGUGUAGGAGUUGGAAGGAAGUUGGAAAUCAGCCCCUUGUGGCCCUUCACUUUGAGAUUCACAAAGAAAAAAGGGAUGUCUCCUCUCUGAAAGCAAAAUGGAACUUCCUUCCUGCACCUGAAGACCUUCCUCACUACAGGUUAUUCCAAAGGAGAAGAAGCUUGACUUCCAAAUACCAUCACUGGAAAUAAGGGUGUCUGAAGGAGACAGGGAUGACUGAGUGUAUCUCAUGUGUGGGAUGAAUCUGCUGUAUUAAGCAGUUCUUCAUGAGUGAGAAGGGGUAACCUCCUUCUAGCACUCCACAUCUCUACUUCCUGCUGCUGCUCUGUCCGAAACCAUAGUAUCCUCACCAGGACCAUACAGGGAACAAAUGCAAGCCACCCAUAGUCCCCUUAGCUCUGUUCAAGACAUGGCACAGAAAAAGAUGAUGUUCAAAGAUGAGAGGGACAAAAAUAAAUAAAUAAAUAUAUAAAAAUUAAAAAAGAGCUCUGUGUUUUCCUGGCAUGUUGGUAUGAGUCCCUGAAAAUGGAUAUUGGCCGGAAGGUUACAUGUGUACAUCAGUUCUGGCUCCAGAAGGCAUUCUUGGCAAACCUCUUCAGAGUGAGGACAUGAACAGGCAAUGGAAGCAUCCAUGAAGACAAGUGGCUCCUGCAGGACUGCUGAUGGGUGGUUGAUCACUUACACAGAGGAGAAGAAACCGUGAAUUCCAUGAUAGUGACACUUGAACCAUCUUUUGUUUCCAGAUGCAUUAAAAAUAGAAGGGAACCACCAUGCAUGGAAUAUAUGAAGUCUUGUUGAGAAGAGUGGUAAAGUAUUUGUUUUGACAAAUCACCUUGCAAGUGAUAUAAAAGCAGUAUAGAGAAAAAUGUCCUCAUCUGAUGCUGCAUUAGAGUGUGCAUUCUAUAGCCUGAAUCUGUUCAUGACAUUAAAAUAGAUUUCUUUGUUCGUGUUCCUUAUAGGUGUUUACAAGCUGAAUGCACUCCAGAAAAUGGAUAGAAAAGAAAAAUAGUUUGUAAAACACAUAACAGGCUCUAGAAUUGGAGCUGCAUAAGAAGUAAAAAGAAACAAUAUAGAAGUAGAAUAAAUGUAUAAAUAUUGCAACAGGACAUGGAACUAUUUUAGGAUCUUUACUCAGGGUUUAAAAACAUUGGAUAAGUCUACAAAAGCCUCUGCGAGUCUGUAGAAAAAACUAGAUAAUGUAGAGUAGUGAUGUCCUUCUGGCAGUUUAAAACAAAAUACCUAAGUUAUUCAUGAAAAUAAGGAUCUUAAAGGACUAUAAAGUAUGGUUUUAGAGCUCAGAAAGAUUACCCAGUUCUGGGAACCCUAACCUCUAUUCUAGACAGUGGUAGAGUUCUGAGUAUAUCCUGAGAAGAUGCAGAGACAAUUUCAGAGGAUUUCUGGCUGAAGAAAGCAUACUGAUGACUGUCCUGAAGUCAGAAGUGACCACUCGGGCUGGGAAGCCCUUUACCGAGGACUUCACAUAUUUCACCUCUAGGAUUGCUCUGAGCUAACCUUCAAGCUCUGUGCUCCUCCUUCUGAGUUUAUCCCUAUGUAGUCUUGCUCUUGGGCUACCUGACUGAUUUUUAAUGCCUGCAGAUUUGCUUCCAUCUUUGCAUGACCAAGCCUUGGCCAAGCCACUGUUUCUGUUGACACAGUAGCAUUAUCUACCUCUGCUGGGGAUGGUCAUAGCUUUCAGAGCUGACACACAGUCUAGCUUGAACCCAGUCUCUUCUUUGGUCAUUGUGGUAGCAAAAAGCACCAUCUCUUGGAUUCACUGCAGAACUCACACACUUAAAUGUACAAAGUCAGUUUCUAUGGAUGGGUAUUGCUGCAUCCAGAUUGGACAGCGACCUUGGCUGAGACAUCCUUUACCUCUGUUUUCAGAUAAACUCAGCUGGCAUUUAAAAUCUCAGUGCACUUCCUCCACCUUGUCCAGAGGAAAGUAAAAUGAACGACUUUAUCAAGAAAUGGAGAAGAACUACAUGGUUGGUCAUUGCUGCUCUGCGAAUAUUGGAUCUGGAACUCAAAGGUGGCAGUCAGUAUAAAUGCAGAUGGCACUGCUGCUCCGUUUGCCUGACAUACAUUUAAAAUGUACAGCAUAUUUCGGCUUUCAAUGCUGGGAUGGUAUUUCAACUAUAGAUUCAAAACAUGUUCAGGUGUUUGAUUCUAACAUAGAGCCAGGGAUUCUGUUAUGAAAUGCAUCCUGCUGCGUGGGGAAAGGACCCAGUCUUCUAUGUCUCUUGCUUCAAAUACUUCUAUCUUCCAGAGGCUGGAGAAAGAUGUGGGUCUGCAUCUUGAAAUAUGUGCCUUGAACAAGAAUUGAUAACCUGUAGAAAACUUGUAUUACUUUGAAUAAAUUCUCAGUUUGCAGAAGCCUAUGGAAAUAGCAGAAGAAAGCAUGAGAAGAAGCAGUAACUUUAGCAGUCAUAAACUAAGGGGAUAACCUGAAAAAUAAAGUUGUAUGUGCACCAAACUGUAUUUAGUUUGGUUUUCCCCCCCCAUCCUUUUCCUCUUUUAUAUUUCUCUUCUACAAUUAAGUGCUCUUUCGUGAUCUACUUAAUAUUGUGAAAGAUGCCAAGUCCAGAAAUUAGGAUGGCUUUUCUUGAGUAAUAAACAUGCAGCAUGGUGUGGUAGAAAAAGCUUGGUCUCCACUUCUGUCCUUGCUGCUAACCCUGGGUAACCUUGGCCUUGUCAUGAUACCUCUCUGAGCCUGCCUCUCUCUCUCUCUCUCUCUCUCAAAAUAUUUCCAAGGGUGUUUUUAUUUUUAUUUACUUUUAUUUUUUUAUAUAACUUAUUAUCAAAUUGGUUUCCAUACAACAUCCAGUGCUCAUCCCAACAGGAGCCCUCCUCAAUGCCCAUCACCCACUUUCCCCCUUCCCCCACCCCUCAUCAACCCUCAGUUUGUUUUCAGUAUUUAAGAAUCUCUAAUGGUUUGCCUCCUUCCCUCUCGGUAACUUUUUGUUCCCCCUUCCCCUCCCCCAUGGUCUUCUGUUAAGUUUCUCAGGAUCCACAUAUGAGUGAAAACAUAUGGCUUCUGUCUUUCUCUGCCUGACUUAUUUCACUUAACAUAAUACUCUCCAGUUCCAUCCACGCUGCUACAAAUGGCCAGAUUUCAUUCUUUCUCAUUGCCAAGUAGUAUUCCAUUGUAUAUAUAAACCACAUCUUCUUUAUCCAUUUGUCGGUUGAUGGACAUUUAGUGAGCCUCUCUUUUUAUAUCUAUAAAAUAAAGGAGCUCUCUGGAGUACUAUUCUGGUUCUAAAAUCUACCAGUUCUGUACUGUUGAUGGUUUCUUCUGUUUAAAAGUUUCUGGGUUUCUCAUAAACUGUCAUAAGGGCCAGAGUUCAGGAGGAAUGGAAACUUGUGACUCCAUUUGUGACAAUGUUCAGCACUUUUAGAUGUAAAUGUAGUGUAAUUAAUUUGUCAUCAUCACUUGAAUAUAUUAUACUUUAAAAAUACUGUAUUCUAAAAUAUAAUGUUUGGAAAAACAAAUCUGUAGUGGAAAAUAAAUAAUUGUUACUGCUUGUCUCAAACCAUGUAGGGCCCCUUAAUCAUCACCUACUGUGGUUCUCAGCCCUGACUGUACAUUAGCAUCACCCAGAGAACUUUUAAAUAUAAUGGUGCCUGCCCUCCCAUCUCAGAAGUUCUGAUCUAAUUGGUCUUGAGUAGGGCUUUAUACCAGUAUUUUAAGGUCAAGUUAAGAAUCAGUGGCCUGCAAAAUAACUGCAAUUUCUGAGGUCUAAGGUCUCCCAGGCAUGGCUCAUACCUACUUGGGCUCCAUGCUGACUGACCACCUGUGGUCCUCUCCAGUGUGCCAUCAUGUUCACAGUGUUGUUUCACAUAUACACAAGUUUGCACCUGCUGUUAUAGCCUGGAAUGCUAUCACACCAUGAGUGAUGCAGGUUUCCUUAUUAACAUAGUUCCUGUAAUACUUUGUAAUGGCCUGCUUUGUAGUCAUUUUCCUAUUAUAAAUAUUUUAUCCAUAAUUGUGUGUAUUUGUGUUAUAGAUCUGAUCAUCUCUGUCUCUCACGUUUAAAACUCCCUAGUGCCUUCCCAUUGUCUAGAAAUAGCAUCCACACCUUUUACUUGCCUAUAAUGCCCUAUGUAAUCUGCACCUACCUCGUCCUCAGACCUCUUUUCUGAACCACUACCCACUUGUUCACUUCACUCUGGCCUUACCAAUCUUGUUCUCAUCUCAGGGCCUUUAUACCUAGUGUUCCUUCUACCUGGGGCAUUUUCUCUCAUCCUCUCAUUUGCCUCCUUCCCAACAUUCAGACUUUAGCUCAAAUGUCACUUUCUUAAAGUGGCCUUUCCUGACCACCGUAGCAAAAGUAGCACAUCCCCCACCCCACCCAUCAUGCUCUAUCCUACUGUUUUUAUUUUCUUUUAGGACUUAUGCUAUCUGAAAUAAUAGUUUUAUUUUGUACACAUGAUUAUUGAAAGCCUCCCAUUACUGGAAUAUAAGUUCUAUGAAGAUAGGAACUUUGUCUAGUAGGGGCUCAAUAAAUACUGAAUGGAUGAA
Molecule: long non-coding RNA, 18670 nt
Organism: Acinonyx jubatus (cheetah)
Lineage: Eukaryota; Metazoa; Chordata; Mammalia; Carnivora; Felidae
Exons: 2
Source: RefSeq, a predicted model, not a curated record